Molecule: ribosomal RNA, 253 nt
Filed under: uncultured bacterium
Lineage: Bacteria
Description: partial 16S ribosomal RNA
Rfam family: Bacterial small subunit ribosomal RNA
Source: RNAcentral
GACGAACCGCCCGAACGUUGUUCGGAAUCACUGGGCUUAAAGGGCGUGUAGGCGGUCCGCUAAGUCUGAUGUGAAAGCCCGGGGCUCACCCCCGGAAGGGCAUUGGAAACUGACGGACUCGAGUCCCGAAGAGGAGGGUGGAAUUCCUGGUGUAGCGGUGAAAUGCGUAGAUAUCAGGAGGAACACCGGUGGCGAAGGCGGCCCUCUGGACGGUGACUGACGCUGAGACGCGAAAGCGUGGGGAGCAAACAGG